This 266-nucleotide ribosomal RNA is filed under the name uncultured prokaryote. RNAcentral's name for it is "partial 16S ribosomal RNA". It matches the Rfam family "Bacterial small subunit ribosomal RNA", at positions 524 to 788 of the family's 1533-position model. The record is from RNAcentral.
UACGUAGGUGGCAAGCGUUAUCCGGAAUUAUUGGGCGUAAAGAGCGCGCAGGUGGUUGAUUAAGUCUGAUGUGAAAGCCCACGGCUUAACCGUGGAGGGUCAUUGGAAACUGGUCGACUUGAGUGCAGAAGAGGGAAGUGGAAUUCCAUGUGUAGCGGUGAAAUGCGUAGAGAUAUGGAGGAACACCAGUGGCGAAGGCGGCUUCCUGGUCUGUAACUGACACUGAGGCGCGGAAGCGUGGGGAGCAAACAGGAUUAGAUACCCCU